AAGACUCGGCGCAUGCCCCGAGUGAGCGACCCGCUGAGGGGGAAAGUUUCGUCCCCGGGGUGACCUGCGUCCCCUCCCCUCCCCCCACCCGUGACCCGCAACCGCGUUCACACGAACCUUUUUUUGUCAAAGAGACAAGGCUAAUGGCGUUCUUCCAUUCGUUUCUUGCGAACUAAAGAGAGAAAGAGAAAGGAAGAGGGGCAAACAUUGCUUUUCUUCCAAAACCAUUUUGAAGCCAGGAACGUAAUCAAUCUCCAUUCCUGCUCAACUCGGAUCACUGAGAACAAGCACUUCCACCAACAAUAAAAGGGACAAGUCCAUGGCAUCGUGUCAAGCUAUUGGUGAGGUUGUUGUUUUCCUCUUCAUUCUUUUCAUGUGAAAUGGAGAGAACGUAAGGAGAUUUACUGCCGCAGGACCUACUGCAAGUCAGGCGAUCCUAUCUUGCUUCUUGCUCUCACUGCUAAUUCUUUUCACUCCCCCCAAAGUUUUGUCAACAUGGAAUACUGUGGACACAGACUGCAACACUGCUCUGUCACACAGAGCAAAAAUCCUUUCAAAGCUACGGUGCGCAAAAGGGAGAAGAUGAAAAAGGGGGAAACCCCAAUUUGGCACUUCGCAGGACAGUUUUAAGACGUUGCAGACAAAAUUAAUCUCGGCAGCAUUUCAUCCAUUUGACUUUCGGUUACUCCAGCUUGGUUGUCUGAGGAGCUGCAAGGCCAUCAAGCCAAUGUUCCCCUUUCAAAGACACAAACCUUAGAAGCUGUUAGUUGUGGUGGAAGGUUAGAGUUCCCUCUAAUGUGGAAAUAAAACCCUACUGUCUAAAAAAAAAAAUCCACAACCUAGCUGUUGCAAAUACACCUCUGCUGAACUGAAAAUAAAUAAAAUCAGCUCCCCAGCACUGCUGACAUUAUGAGAAUACAAAGAUCUGGAGAUGCAGAAUAGCAGGGUGGGGUGGGGUGUGGGGAGACAAUUACCGAUUGCUUUCAAACUGCUUCAGAGACUUGGGGAAGUAAAUACAGAAUAUUGUGUGAAGGUGCCUUUGUUUCAUCUGGGAUCCCGCUAAUUUGAAAGACACUUCAGGUGAAUCUAGGAACAUUUGUUCUAUUUCUACCAACAAGGCUUCCUUCUACUACCUUUUACUACUUCCUUUUAAACAAUUACUACCAACCUGCCUUCCAUUGAGGACCUGUAUCCUCCACGAAUCAAAAAGAGGGCUGUGAAAAUAUUUACAGAUCCCUCGCAUGAUGGACAUAAACUGUUUCAACUCCUACCCUCAAAACGACGCUAUAGAGCACUGCACACCAGAACAACUAGACACAAGAACAGGUUUUUCCCCGAACACCAUCACUGUGCUAAACAAAUAAUUCCCACAACACUGCCAAACUAGUUACUAAGUCUGCACUACUAUUAAUCUUCUCAUUGUUCCUAUCACCCAUCUCCUUCCACUUACAACUGUAUGACUGUAACCUUGUUGCUGGUAUCCUUAAGAUUUAUAUUGACAGUUUCCCUAUGACUAUCAUUAAGUGUUGUACCUUAUGAUUCUUGAAGAAUGUAUCUUUUAUGUACACUGAGAGCAUAUGCACCAAAGACAAAUUCCUUGUGUGUCCAAUCACACUCGGCCAAUAAAGAAUUCUGUUCUAUUCUAUUGUAUUCUAUUUUAGCCAAGACUUAGACAGCGGCCUAAUUUAUUCAAAUUUGGAGUGUCCCUUAUGAGGCGGGGGGGCUGUAGAAUAAACCACAAAGCAGGAGGAAAGUUUUACUUUUAUUUCUUGAACACUUUCAAGGUUGCCUAGUUUCAGAAGUGGUUGUAGAGUAGUUGAUAUCCCUCCUCUUUGCUAGAGAGCUUCCAUGCUAAUGAAAUGAAUACUGUAAUCCUGGGGAAAAGGGCUGAUGGAAACAACUUUCCUAGGCAGAUAGGAGCCAGAAUAUUUAAGCUAAGUAAUAUUUGGCAAUUCACUUACAGGCAAUUAGCAUUUCUCAACCUGGUUACACGGCUGCUAAUACAUUACUACUAUUGUAAAAUGCAAACAUAUGCAUCUUUUCCUAAAUUCAGUGGAGUGUAUCUUGUCCCCCAACAUAGUCAAAGCUUUCUACUAACUUCAGCUGAAAUGCAAAUAAAUGUCUAUGCUUAAUACUCAUUAGG
Ahaetulla prasina is the source of this 2143-nucleotide long non-coding RNA. RefSeq lists it as uncharacterized. The transcript is spliced from 4 exons. NCBI's taxonomy places the organism in Eukaryota, Metazoa, Chordata, Lepidosauria, Squamata, Colubridae. The record is from RefSeq and is a predicted model, not a curated record.